Molecule: ribosomal RNA, 497 nt
Filed under: uncultured bacterium
Lineage: Bacteria
Description: partial 16S ribosomal RNA
Rfam family: Bacterial small subunit ribosomal RNA
Source: RNAcentral
GAUGAACGCUGGCGGCGUGCCUAAUACAUGCAAGUCGAGCGAACAGACGAGGAGCUUACUCCUCUGACGUUAGCGGCGGACGGGUGAGUAACACGUGGAUAACCUACCUAUAAGACUGGGAUAACUUCGGGAAACCGGAGCUAAUACCGGAUAACAUGUUGAACCGCAUGGUUCAACAGUGAUAGACGGUCUUGCUGUCACUUAUAGAUGGAUCCGCGUCGCAUUAGCUAGUUGGUAAGGUAACGGCUUACCAAGGCAACGAUGCGUAGCCGACCUGAGAGGGUGAUCGGCCACACUGGAACUGAGACACGGUCCAGACUCCUACGGGAGGCAGCAGUAGGGAAUCUUCCGCAAUGGGCGAAAGCCUGACGGAGCAACGCCGCGUGAGUGAAGAAGGUCUUCGGAUCGUAAAACUCUGUUAUUAGGGAAGAACAAAUGUGUAAGUAACUAUGCACGUCUUGACGGUACCUAAUCAGAAAGCCACGGCUAACUACGUG